Lagopus leucura (white-tailed ptarmigan) is the source of this 589-nucleotide long non-coding RNA. RefSeq lists it as uncharacterized. NCBI's taxonomy places the organism in Eukaryota, Metazoa, Chordata, Aves, Galliformes, Phasianidae. The transcript is spliced from 3 exons. The record is from RefSeq and is a predicted model, not a curated record.
CCUGCUCCCUCCCCACCCGGCGGGACCCCGAUACCGGACCGUCGGCCGGUGCCGCCGCGCCUUCCCGGCAGCAGGAAAUUAAAACUCCUCACACAGUGAGUUUAGUCCACUGCCAAGCCCCUGUGGGCAGUCCUCAUCCGGAAGGAAGCAAGGGGUUCUGAGGAAUCAGACUGGAGAAAUGAGAAGCUCACAGAAGUAGAACAGCUUGACAGAGAUGCAUCUGAAACAAGGAAUGCUGGAACUGGAAUGAUCUUUUGAAUAUGCAUAAACUAAAAAGGGAAAAACCAAAUGGGGAAAAAAAGAAAAAAAGUGUGGCUAGCUUCAUGUAGAGAUGGAUUUUCUAUUCCACAGAAACUAAUUUGCCUCCAAUGCAAAUUCUCUGUUGAAAGGAUGUGCCUACACUGCAGCUGGAAUGCUUCAGACAUAGGUUAUGUGGGUACUAAAGCGGUAUGGGCAGUAAAAUAACAGUAACAGUAAAAAUUUAAAUCACAGAGACUAUAACAAAUGUAAUCAAGGGCUCUGUAUCAAAUUCAGAAACACCUGGUUUCUUGGUGUUUAGGUUUGUAUUUUAAUAAAUGAGUUGACAACA